This 490-nucleotide ribosomal RNA is filed under the name uncultured bacterium. RNAcentral describes it as "partial 16S ribosomal RNA". It matches the Rfam family "Bacterial small subunit ribosomal RNA", at positions 30 to 507 of the family's 1533-position model. The record is from RNAcentral.
AUUGAACGCUGGCGGCAGGCCUAACACAUGCAAGUCGAACGGUAACAGGAAGAAGCUUGCUUCUUUGCUGACGAGUGGCGGACGGGUGAGUCAUGUCUGGGAAACUGCCUGAUGGAGGGGGAUAACUACUGGAAACGGUAGCUACUACCGCAUAACGUCGCAAGACCAAAAAGGGGGACCUUCGGGCCUCUUGCCAUCGGAUGUGCCCAGAUGGGAUUAGCUAGUAGGUGGGGUAACGGCUCACCUAGGCGACGAUCCCUAGCUGGUCUGAGAGGAUGACCAGCCACACUGGAACUGAGACACGGUCCAGACUCCUACGGGAGGCAGCAGUGGGGAAUAUUGCACAAUGGGCGCAAGCCUGAUGCAGCCAUGCCGCGUGUAUGAAGAGGGCCUUCGGGUUGUAAAGUACUUUCAGCGGGGAGGAAGGGAGUAAAGUUAAUACCUUUGCUCAUUGACGUUACCCGCAGAAGAAGCACCGGCUAACUCCGUG